RNAcentral lists this ribosomal RNA (1949 nucleotides) under human gut metagenome. RNAcentral describes it as "bacterial LSU rRNA". It matches the Rfam family "Bacterial large subunit ribosomal RNA", at positions 1 to 1977 of the family's 2925-position model. The record is from RNAcentral.
UUAAGCGACUAAGCGUACACGGUGGAUGCCCUGGCAGUCAGAGGCGAUGAAGGACGUGCUAAUCUGCGAUAAGCGUCGGUGAGGUGAUAUGAACCGUUAUAACCGGCGAUUUCCGAAUGGGGAAACCCAGUGUGUUUCGACACACUAUCAUUAACUGAAUCCAUAGGUUAAUGAGGCGAACCGGGGGAACUGAAACAUCUAAGUACCCCGAGGAAAAGAAAUCAACCGAGAUUCCCCCAGUAGCGGCGAGCGAACGGGGAGGAGCCCAGAGCCUGAAUCAGUGUGUGUGUUAGUGGAAGCGUCUGGAAAGGCGCGCGAUACAGGGUGACAGCCCCGUACACAAAAAUGCACACAUUGUGAGCUCGAUGAGUAGGGCGGGACACGUGGUAUCCUGUCUGAAUAUGGGGGGACCAUCCUCCAAGGCUAAAUACUCCUGACUGACCGAUAGUGAACCAGUACCGUGAGGGAAAGGCGAAAAGAACCCCGGCGAGGGGAGUGAAAAAGAACCUGAAACCGUGUACGUACAAGCAGUGGGAGCCUCUUAAUGGGGUGACUGCGUACCUUUUGUAUAAUGGGUCAGCGACUUAUAUUCUGUAGCAAGGUUAACCGAAUAGGGGAGCCGAAGGGAAACCGAGUCUUAACUGGGCGUUAAGUUGCAGGGUAUAGACCCGAAACCCGGUGAUCUAGCCAUGGGCAGGUUGAAGGUUGGGUAACACUAACUGGAGGACCGAACCGACUAAUGUUGAAAAAUUAGCGGAUGACUUGUGGCUGGGGGUGAAAGGCCAAUCAAACCGGGAGAUAGCUGGUUCUCCCCGAAAGCUAUUUAGGUAGCGCCUCGUGAAUUCAUCUCCGGGGGUAGAGCACUGUUUCGGCAAGGGGGUCAUCCCGACUUACCAACCCGAUGCAAACUGCGAAUACCGGAGAAUGUUAUCACGGGAGACACACGGCGGGUGCUAACGUCCGUCGUGAAGAGGGAAACAACCCAGACCGCCAGCUAAGGUCCCAAAGUCAUGGUUAAGUGGGAAACGAUGUGGGAAGGCCCAGACAGCCAGGAUGUUGGCUUAGAAGCAGCCAUCAUUUAAAGAAAGCGUAAUAGCUCACUGGUCGAGUCGGCCUGCGCGGAAGAUGUAACGGGGCUAAACCAUGCACCGAAGCUGCGGCAGCGACACUAUGUGUUGUUGGGUAGGGGAGCGUUCUGUAAGCCUGUGAAGGUGGCCUGUGAGGGUUGCUGGAGGUAUCAGAAGUGCGAAUGCUGACAUAAGUAACGAUAAAGCGGGUGAAAAGCCCGCUCGCCGGAAGACCAAGGGUUCCUGUCCAACGUUAAUCGGGGCAGGGUGAGUCGACCCCUAAGGCGAGGCCGAAAGGCGUAGUCGAUGGGAAACAGGUUAAUAUUCCUGUACUUGGUGUUACUGCGAAGGGGGGACGGAGAAGGCUAUGUUGGCCGGGCGACGGUUGUCCCGGUUUAAGCGUGUAGGCUGGUUUUCCAGGCAAAUCCGGAAAACCAAGGCUGAGGCGUGAUGACGAGGCACUACGGUGCUGAAGCGACAAAUGCCCUGCUUCCAGGAAAAGCCUCUAAGCAUCAGGUAACAUCAAAUCGUACCCCAAACCGACACAGGUGGUCAGGUAGAGAAUACCAAGGCGCUUGAGAGAACUCGGGUGAAGGAACUAGGCAAAAUGGUGCCGUAACUUCGGGAGAAGGCACGCUGAUAUGUAGGUGAAGCGACUUGCUCGUGGAGCUGAAAUCAGUCGAAGAUACCAGCUGGCUGCAACUGUUUAUUAAAAACACAGCACUGUGCAAACACGAAAGUGGACGUAUACGGUGUGACGCCUGCCCGGUGCCGGAAGGUUAAUUGAUGGGGUUAGCGGCAACGCGAAGCUCUUGAUCGAAGCCCCGGUAAACGGCGGCCGUAACUAUAACGGUCCUAAGGUAGCGAAAUUCCUUGUCGGGU